This 502-nucleotide ribosomal RNA is filed under the name uncultured bacterium. Its description in RNAcentral is "partial 16S ribosomal RNA". It matches the Rfam family "Bacterial small subunit ribosomal RNA", at positions 29 to 506 of the family's 1533-position model. The record is from RNAcentral.
AACGAACGCUGGCGGCGUGCCUAACACAUGCAAGUCGAACGAGAAAGGGGCUUCGGCUCCGAGUAAAGUGGCGCACGGGUGAGUAACACGUGGGUAACCUGCCUCUAAGAUUGGGAUAACUCGUCGAAAGAUGAGCUAAUACCGAAUAAGACCACAGUUCCCGCGGGAACAGGGGUCAAAGGUAGCCUCUGCUUGCAAGCUAUCACUUAGAGAUGGGCCUGCGCACCAUUAGCUAGUUGGUAGGGUAACGGCCUACCAAGGCAAAGAUGGUUAGCUGGUCUGAGAGGAUGAUCAGCCACACUGGAACUGAGACACGGUCCAGACUCCUACGGGAGGCAGCAGUGGGGAAUAUUGCGCAAUGGGCGAAAGCUUGACGCAGCAACGCCGCGUGAGUGAUGAAGGCCUUCGGGUCGUAAAGCUCUGUCGGGAGGAACGAAUGCUCCUGAGGUUAACAGCCUCGGGAGGUGACGGUACCUUCAAAGGAAGCACCGGCGAACUCUGU